Molecule: small nuclear RNA, 106 nt
Organism: Sorex araneus (European shrew)
Lineage: Eukaryota; Metazoa; Chordata; Mammalia; Eulipotyphla; Soricidae
Source: Ensembl
GACUUGCUUUGGCAACCCAUAUUCUAAAAUUAGAAUGAUACAGAGGAAAUUAGCAUGGCCCUUGUGCACAAGUGACAUGCAAAUUUGUGAAAUGUUUCAUGUUGUU